GAUGAAGAACGCAGCGAAAUGCGAUAAGUAAUGUGAAUUGCAGAAUUCAGUGAAUCAUCGAAUCUUUGAACGCACCUUGCACCCUUUGGCAUUCCGAAGGGUAUGCUCGUUUGAGUGUCAUUGUACUCUCACACUCCCAAUUGCUUUGGAUUGGGAGCGGUGGACUUGGGUGUUGCUGCUUGACUGAGGCUCACCUGAAAUAUGUUAGUGCACCUCUUGAUUGGACAUAGUACGGCGUGAUAAGUGUCUUCGCCGGCUCCUCGCAAAGAGGGUGGCCGAUCGGGAGCUCUGUUGCUUCAAACUGUCUUCGGACAAUCUUCUGGCGACUUGACCUCAAAUCGAGUAUGACUACCCGCUGAACUUAAGCAUAUCAAUAAGCGGAGGA
RNAcentral lists this unclassified non-coding RNA (385 nucleotides) under soil metagenome. Its description in RNAcentral is "partial contains 5.8S ribosomal RNA, internal transcribed spacer 2, and large subunit ribosomal RNA". The stretch from base 1 to 120 matches the Rfam family "5.8S ribosomal RNA", at positions 35 to 154 of the family's 154-position model. The record is from RNAcentral.